RNAcentral lists this ribosomal RNA (415 nucleotides) under uncultured Nitrososphaerota archaeon. Its description in RNAcentral is "uncultured thaumarchaeote partial 16S ribosomal RNA". It matches the Rfam family "Archaeal small subunit ribosomal RNA", at positions 330 to 747 of the family's 1478-position model. The record is from RNAcentral. Lineage: Archaea; Thermoproteati; Nitrososphaerota.
GCGCAGCAGGCGCGAAAAUUUUGCAAUGCGCGCAAGCGUGACAAAGUCAUCCCGAGUGCCACCCGCUGAGGGUGGCUUUUCUACAGUCUAAAAAGCUGUGGGAAUAAGGGGAGGGUAAGUCGGGUGUCAGCCGCCGCGGUAAUACCCGCUCCCCGAGUGGUGGGGGCUUUUACUGAGCUUAAAGCGCCCGUAGCCGGUCAUGCGUGUCUCCAGUUAAAUCCAGCAGCCUAACUGCUGGGCCGCUGGAGAUACUGUAUGACUUGGAGGCGGGAGAGGCUACCGGUAGUCCCGGGGUAGGAGUGAAAUCCUCUGAUCCCGGGAGGACCACCAGUGGCGAAGGCGUCCGGCCAGAACGCGCCCGACGGUGAGGGACGAAAGCUGGGGGAGCGAACCGGAUUAGAUACCCCUGUAGUCC